Long non-coding RNA from Oreochromis niloticus (Nile tilapia), 448 nucleotides. RefSeq lists it as uncharacterized. Lineage: Eukaryota; Metazoa; Chordata; Actinopteri; Cichliformes; Cichlidae. The record is from RefSeq and is a predicted model, not a curated record. The transcript is spliced from 4 exons.
UCCCUGACACGUUAACUGUAUUGAUAAUAUUAUUAUUACUUGCAGUAAUCUCGCAAUCUUUUCUUGAUAAACCACCUCUGUUGCCAACUAAUACAUCCCAAUUCCUGCAAGCAUGCCAAAGAGAUGAGCUGCCUAAUUGGACUGUCUUGUAGAUUAGCGGUGAUGCAGAUGAACAUCAAAGAACCCUUGACAGUCAGCCUGAUCCCCAGCUAAAACCUGGAAUGUGGUUACACCGCUUCACUUCAAGGGGCACAAAAAUCGUUAAGCGCUGAGUAUUACUGGGAAAGGACUCAGCUUUGACUGACGUUAGCAGCCGAAGUCUCGUGAUCAUAACAGACCGAGGAAAGCUGGAGCAGCAGGUGUGACUGCGAUGAAUUGAGCUUACAGGGGGUUUGCUGGAGCCUGUCCCAGCAUGCAUUCAGCUAUAUCCCACUACACUCUCAACAGG